GAUGAAGAACGUAGCGAAAUGCGAUAAGUAAUGUGAAUUGCAGAAUUCAGUGAAUCAUCGAAUCUUUGAACGCACAUUGCGCCCCCUGGUAUUCCGGGGGGCAUGCCUGUCCGAGCGUCAUUGCUGCCCUCAAGCACGGCUUGUGUGUUGGGCCUCCGUCCUCCUCCCGGGGGACGGGCCCGAAAGGCAGCGGCGGCACCGCGUCCGGUCCUCGAGCGUAUGGGGCUUCGUCACCCGCUCUUGUAGGCCCGGCCGGCGCUUGCCGACACAUCAAUCUUUUUUCCAGGUUGACCUCGGAUCAGGUAGGGAUACCCGCUGAACUUAAGCAUAUCAAUACGGAGGA
Molecule: unclassified non-coding RNA, 343 nt
Filed under: soil metagenome
Description: partial contains 5.8S ribosomal RNA, internal transcribed spacer 2, and large subunit ribosomal RNA
Rfam family: 5.8S ribosomal RNA (bases 1-120)
Source: RNAcentral